RNAcentral lists this ribosomal RNA (752 nucleotides) under uncultured bacterium. Its description in RNAcentral is "bacterial SSU rRNA". It matches the Rfam family "Bacterial small subunit ribosomal RNA", at positions 8 to 796 of the family's 1533-position model. The record is from RNAcentral.
AGAGUUUGAUCAUGGCUCAGAACGAACGCUGGCGGCAUGCCUAACACAUGCAAGUCGAACGUGAUCCGGGCUUCGGCCUGGUGAAAGUGGCAGACGGGUGAGUAACGCGUGGGAACCUGCCCUGUGGUAGGGAAUAACCGUGGGAAACUGCGGCUAAUACCCUAUGAGUCCUUCGGGAGAAAGAUUUAUCGCCAUAGGAGGGGCCCGCGUCGGAUUAGGUAGUUGGUGGGGUAACGGCCUACCAAGCCUUCGAUCCGUAGCUGGUCUGAGAGGAUGAUCAGCCACACUGGGACUGAGAUACGGCCCAGACUCCUACGGGAGGCAGCAGUGGGGAAUAUUGGACAAUGGGGGCAACCCUGAUCCAGCAAUGCCGCGUGGAUGAUGAAGGCCUUCGGGUUGUAAAGUCCUUUCGGCGGGGAAGAUGAUGACGGUACCCGCAGAAGAAGCCCCGGCUAACUUCGUGCCAGCAGCCGCGGUAAUACGAAGGGGGCUAGCGUUGUUCGGAAUUACUGGGCGUAAAGGGCGCGUAGGCUGUGCUGUAAGUCAGGCGUGAAAGCCCCGGGCUCAACCUGGGAAUUGCGCUUGAUACUGCGGCGCUGGAAGGUGGGAGAGGAUGGCGGAAUUCCCAGUGUAGAGGUGAAAUUCGUAGAUAUUGGGAAGAACACCGGUGGCGAAGGCGGCCAUCUGGCCCAUUUUUGACGCUGAGGCGCGAAAGCGUGGGGAGCAAACAGGAUUAGAUACCCUAGUAGUCC